Molecule: non-coding RNA, 27 nt
Filed under: Mus musculus (house mouse)
Lineage: Eukaryota; Metazoa; Chordata; Mammalia; Rodentia; Muridae
Source: RNAcentral
UGCUGCUUGUUGGAUCUAUGGUUCAGG